GGCCUCAGGUGAUCCACCCACCUCAGCCUCCCAAAGUGCUGGGAUCACAGGUGUGAGCCACUGCGCCCAGCUGAAUUCUGGCUGUUUUGAUUAGGGAUGCUGAACCUAUACAAUGGGUGUCACAAAACACAAACUCGAGAAGAUACCUGGAAGGGCUCCCAUGAGCUCUGGGACAGACCAGGUCACGGGCGUCUCAAAACAUUCAGAAAAUCAUCAUCAAGAGAACCUCUGGGCACAGACAGAAAAGUCUAGAAUGAAAGUCUUUCACGGUUAAAUGUUUGAUAAAUUAGAAGAGCAGUGAAACCACAGAGUCGGUGAAUGAGCAGCAGCCAGGCAGGGCAGGCCCUGGAGUUGAGUGGCAGCUGGGCAGAGCGGGCCCUGGAGGUGAGUAGCAGCUGGGUAUGCCCGGGAGGGCCCUGGAGGUGAGUGGCAAUUGGGGGGGAGGGGGGCCUGGAGGCGGGGCAGGCCCUGGAGGUGAAUAGCAGCUGGGUAUGCCCGGGCAGGCCCUGGAGGUGAGUGGCAGCGGGCAGGGUGGGCCCAGGAGGUGAGAGGCAGCCAGGCAGGGCAGGCCCUGGAGGUGAGUGGCAGCAGGUUAGGACGGGCCCUGGAGGUGAGUGGCAGCGGGCAGGGUGGGCCCUGGAGGUGAGUGGCAGCCAGGCAGGGCGGGCCCUGGAGGUGAGUGGCAGUCAGUUACUGCGGGCCCUGGAGGUGAGUGGCAGCCGGGCAGGGCGGGCCCUGGAGGUGAGUGGCAGCCAGUUACUGCAGGCCCUGGAGGUGAGUGGCAGCAGGGCAGGGUGGGCCCUGGAGGUGAGUGGCAGCCAGGCAGGGCGGGCCCUGGAGGUGAGCGGUGGCAUGAACAUGUCCAGGAAUGAAGGCACCACAUUCCUGACAUGGAGAGGUGACACGCCAGGCUUCUGGUGCUCUGCAAAGAAACUAGUCUUCCGAUGCAGUUCCAAUUAAAAUCUGCAAAGUGCUUAAAAAAAAAAAAAAAAAAGAA
RNAcentral lists this long non-coding RNA (997 nucleotides) under Homo sapiens (human). RNAcentral describes it as "HSALNT0404659". The record is from RNAcentral. Lineage: Eukaryota; Metazoa; Chordata; Mammalia; Primates; Hominidae.